Molecule: long non-coding RNA, 926 nt
Filed under: Triticum aestivum (bread wheat)
Lineage: Eukaryota; Viridiplantae; Streptophyta; Magnoliopsida; Poales; Poaceae
Description: long non-coding RNA (TAES_LNC023625)
Source: RNAcentral
UGUGUCCUUUUGUGUAGUGCUGGGCUCACCAGAAGAUAGAAGUUGUACAUCGCCUCUGAGCCUCUAUUCUCGCCGUGUUUAAUGUCGAUGGUUCUGGUCAUACCGCCCCACGCACCCAACACAAUUACUCUCUCAUAUUCUCUCUUUUCCUCCCGGAUCUCCGUCCAGAUCUGCGCUCCCGCCACCCUAUAUCCGUUGCCAUGUGUGCAUCAUCUUCCUCUUCCUCUAAUCAGUUGUCCCUACUGCAAGAGGGGAGAUGUGGAAUGGUGGGUGUCCCACACCAAGCUGAACCCCAGGAGGCACUUCUACAAGUGUGGGCGUCACUGGGUGAGUUCCUCUUUUUUCCCGUCUUAAGUGCAUAGAUUCAUAGAUUUGUUCUGUUCUAAUCAUUUUCUUCAUGUUCCUCGUUUCCCCUUAAUCUCAAAUCUAGAAAGGCAAAGGUUCUUUCAGAAGUGGGAAGAUGUCUAAAUCGAUGUUCUCAUAGCCAAGUGGCCCAAGCUGUUCAUACCUAUUGCCCAGCCUAAGAACAGUGGCAUCACUAUGAUCUUGAUCCUCAUCGUCGGUAUCCUCAACCUCUUUGUUGUUCUUCACCUUAGUCCGAAGAAGAACGGAAGCUGAAGCUGCUCCAAUGCUGAAUCUAAACCAGUGUUUAGGAUCUAGCCAACUAAUGAUUAUGCACUGCCUGUUUCUGAAGUUUAGUUUGCCCAUAAUUGUCCCUUACAAUAUGUGUGUCUGCCAGUGCAGUUAAAUUUGUUUUCUAGUUAACCAUUUAUUCAGGGGAGAAUCAUAUGUUGAUCGCCUCCUGUAGUUUAUCAUGAGGUUAGCCUUACAGGUGGCACCAAAGUAUUGUAUGUGUUGUAAGCUUGUCCCCUAAUAUAUAUUUAUGUGAUAACUAUGAUUUGUGUUCUUUUUUGUAACUGCUUAAU